AUUAUGCUUGAAGGAAAAUGGCUUUAAAAAUGCUUUUUGUCGUUUGGAAAGUCCUUUUGUUCUGUACCCUUCUCUUGGCUUUUCAGGUGGCUGCUAGGGAACUGCUCCAAACUUCCCCUGUUCCUAAUAUAUCACCCUCACCCACGAAGAAGUUGCGCAAACGCGAUGAGCCAUGGGGCCAUAAUCCAUGAAAUUUGUUUCAUCUCUUUCGGAAUAAGAGUCUCCUCAUGAUCAAGACUAAUGUUUGGGUUUGAUCGAGUCUCAUAUUUGUGGGCAGCUAUAUAUUUUUUCUUUUUCUAUACUUUUCUAAAACUAAUUAAAAAAAUAAUAAUUUGUAUUGAAUAUUGUAUAAAUAACUUCAAUUGUAACAUUGUCGUUAACUUGUUGUUUCUAGCGUUAUGCACACGUUGCAACUUGUAACAUUCUUGGACCAACUGCGCUAUGAAAGUGAAUAACCAUGUUUGACAA
Rhododendron vialii is the source of this 468-nucleotide long non-coding RNA. RefSeq lists it as uncharacterized. The record is from RefSeq and is a predicted model, not a curated record. The transcript has 2 exons. Lineage: Eukaryota; Viridiplantae; Streptophyta; Magnoliopsida; Ericales; Ericaceae.